This 269-nucleotide long non-coding RNA is filed under the name Elaeis guineensis (African oil palm). RNAcentral describes it as "long non-coding RNA (EGUI_LNC029140)". Lineage: Eukaryota; Viridiplantae; Streptophyta; Magnoliopsida; Arecales; Arecaceae. The record is from RNAcentral.
CCUCCUUAUGAUGAUGUUGGCCUCUUCGUGAGGUCGGCCUCCUCAUGAGGUUGGUCUCGUGAUGAUGUCGGCCUUUGAAGGGAAGGAAAACUGUUUGUCUUCGAGUAGUCCAGGUUGCAUCUAAAAUUUUUUUAUUAAUCUACAUGAAUAAGAAUCAAAUCUUUAUCUGAUUAGAAGCAGAACUAGAGAUCAAAUCUUCAAAAAUCUAAAAUAAUCAUUUGUAGAGGUCUGGAUGUGCAGACCCUUUACUUCACAUACAUGCCAGACAC